RNAcentral lists this ribosomal RNA (130 nucleotides) under Stachybotrys microspora. Its description in RNAcentral is "partial 18S ribosomal RNA". It matches the Rfam family "Eukaryotic small subunit ribosomal RNA", at positions 1704 to 1831 of the family's 1831-position model. Lineage: Eukaryota; Fungi; Ascomycota; Sordariomycetes; Hypocreales; Stachybotryaceae. The record is from RNAcentral.
AGGCGUUCGGACUGGUCCAGGGAGGUGGGCAACUACCACCCAGGACCGGAAAGUUCUCCAAACUUGGUCAUUUAGAGGAAGUAAAAGUCGUAACAAGGUCUCCGUUGGUGAACCAGCGGAGGGAUCAUUA